Molecule: long non-coding RNA, 711 nt
Organism: Pieris rapae (cabbage white)
Lineage: Eukaryota; Metazoa; Arthropoda; Insecta; Lepidoptera; Pieridae
Exons: 3
Source: RefSeq, a predicted model, not a curated record
UUUUUUUUUUUUUUUCCCCUUUCUUGGCCUGCACGGUUUGUGCGUCAGCCAUGUACAAAAGUUAGGAAGUGCAUUAUUAGGUUUAUUGGAUAGGAAAUUAGUACGGAAUUUGGAAAAGGAUCAGAUAAAUUUUAUUAUAAAUAAAAGGACAGAAAUAGAAGUAGGAAAAGAAAUAUUUAUGUAUAAAAGCGGAACGGUCAUGUCUAUUACAGGCAAAAAAUAUAUGGUUAAAACCCCCAACGUCAUUGCCACACUCAAAUGUGUCGUCAGGCAAAAGGUUUAAGCCUUGCCAAAUGCAAGGGUAUGCAUGCAUGGCCCAGCCUCAUACGUAUAAGGGUCGAAGUAAUAUCUUUACCAAGCGUCAAAGUAGAAGUGGAAGGGUGAGACUUCGUGCUAUCCGAACAGUCUGUAUCGAUAAUGGAACCUUCCGUUUCCAUUCCAGACGCAUCGAUUGUAACUACAUGAGACACCUGGAGGGAUGUCCCUCCAGGGUCUUCGGGCUCCAUCAUGGACGACAAGAGAAAAAUUCUAAUCUACAUAUAAUAAAAUAAAAUAACUUACCAGGCUAUUAAGACAAACUAAAAAUAUAAAUAAUCAACAAUAACUACUACUAUAUACACCUUAAACUUAACUGAUCCUGUAUUAUUAUAUGAAUUUAAUUUUUAAAAGUUAAGCCAAAAAAAAGACGCCCGCCUAUUUUUACACUUCCCG